This 440-nucleotide long non-coding RNA is filed under the name Brachypodium distachyon (stiff brome). RNAcentral describes it as "long non-coding RNA (BDIS_LNC003276)". The record is from RNAcentral. Lineage: Eukaryota; Viridiplantae; Streptophyta; Magnoliopsida; Poales; Poaceae.
CCUAGGGUUUCACCCAUUUGAGCUUUGGAUCUUCAAACCAAUAGGGUUUAACUACAAAAAGGGUUUAUUGCAUAAAUAAGCUAUCCCGUAAUUUUUGGAUAUUUAUUUAGAGUUGAAAAACUACUUUAUUUAAAUAGUUAUAAAGCCCUAAAGGCAUUUAUAGGGCAAAUGUAUUUUUAUAUAUUUAAUUUUGAGGGUAAAUUACUCCCAAAAGUUGAAUCAUGAUAAAACAUGAUUUUACAAAUUUUCUAGAAUUUAUUUGGAUCAAUUUGGUGUUCAAAAUCAAAAGAUAUCAAAGAAAUCAGAAAAUGAAAAAGAGAAAAGGCUAAAAGAAAAAAAAAGAAGUAAACCGGGCCGGCCCGACCAAAUGGGCCGAACCGCUCGGUUCCGCACGAACCGACCGAGCUGGACCGGCGCAGCCAGCCCCGCGUGCCCCUGAC